ACAGAGGGGGCCGAAGCCGCGAGGCGGAGGAAAUCCUGAAAACUGGGCCCAGUUCGGACUGUAGGCUGCAACCCGCCUACACGAAGCCGGAAUCGCUAGUAAUGGCGCAUCAGCUACGGCGCCGUGAAUACGUUCCCGGGUCUUGUACACACCGCCCGUCACAUCAUGGAAGCCGGUCGCACCCGAAGUAUCUGAAGCCAACCGCAAGGAGGCAGGGUCCUAAGGUGAGACUGGUAACUGGGAUGAAGUCGU
RNAcentral lists this ribosomal RNA (252 nucleotides) under Agathobacter rectalis. Its description in RNAcentral is "partial 16S ribosomal RNA". It matches the Rfam family "Bacterial small subunit ribosomal RNA", at positions 1239 to 1489 of the family's 1533-position model. Lineage: Bacteria; Bacillati; Bacillota; Clostridia; Lachnospirales; Lachnospiraceae. The record is from RNAcentral.